UGAGGUACAGUAGGACUGAUGAGGACUGAGGUACAGUAGGACUGAUGAGGACUGAGGUACAGUAGGACUGAUGAGGACUGAGGUACAGUAGGACUGAUGAGGACUGCGGUACAGUAGAACUGAUGAGGACUGCGGUACAGUAGAACUGAUGAGGACUGAGGUACAGUAGGACUGAGGUACAGGAGGACUGAUGAGGACUGAGGUACAGGAGGACUGAUGAGGACUGAGGUACAGGAGGACUGAUGAGGACUGAGGUACAGUAGGACUGAUGAGGACUGAGGUACAGUAGGACUGAUGAGGACUGAGGUACAGUAGGACUGAUGAGGACUGAGGUACAGUAGGACUGAUGAGGACUGAGGUACAGUAGGACUGAUGAGGACUGAGGUACAGUAGGACUGAUGAGGACUGAGGUGCAGUAGGACUGAUGAGGACUGAGGUACAGUAGGACUGAUGAGGGCUGAGGUACAGUAGGACUGAUGAGGGCUGAGGUACAGUAGGACUGAUGAGGACUGAUGUUCAGGAGGACUG
Oncorhynchus keta (chum salmon) is the source of this 528-nucleotide long non-coding RNA. RefSeq lists it as uncharacterized. NCBI's taxonomy places the organism in Eukaryota, Metazoa, Chordata, Actinopteri, Salmoniformes, Salmonidae. The record is from RefSeq and is a predicted model, not a curated record. The transcript has 4 exons.